UAUCCAUUCAAGUGUGUCUAUUCACUGUUUUCUCACCAAUUCUCUUAUCACUAAAGUCUCUGUUUUGCAUCAAUAUUUGCUUUAAAGGCGUGUUGUGUCAACGAAUGUGCGACCGCGUUUAUAAAAAUAAGACGUGAUUCAAUCCUGACAAGUAAAGGCGGUUAAGGGGUGAGGGCGCACAUAAAGAGAGAGAAGGUGUCUCAGCGGCUGAAAAUGUCACAGUGAAGAAGAAAGAAUGUUUAGGUGGUGAGCGAUGAGAAGAGAAAUGCAAUCUGGGUCCAGACAGAGGUGUAACAGACCAAUUUGUUUGUGGUGUAAUGGAGAGAAGAUGGGCUGGCCUGCGUGAUAAGUCGGCCAGGUCCGGGCCAAGCUGGACCAGGAGGAUAAGAAGGCUGCUGAGCUCCGUUUGGAAAGAAAGAAGAAAACAAUAAGUUAGACAAACAUGUGAAGUGUGAAGAGAAAAAAGGAUGAAGGAAAAUAUGAAAUCUUGAUGAGUUUUAAUGUUUUAGCCAAAUAAAGAGAUCAAGUCUUCAAAGGGGGUUGAUCUUAAAGGGACAUUAUGGAAGUUUGACAGCCAAAACAUGUAUAGAAAUAAUAAAUAUCUUCUUCAUACAUUCUCCUGCAAUGCCCUGGUCCUGUAGAAUGAGCCCUGGCAUUUUUACUGUGAUUGCCUGUUUUUCUGUAACAUCACAGAAAAAGAGAGAUGCUCGGGUCGAGCAGGCUGCUUCAUGCGCGUUCACGCUCAGGCAUCGCCCGUAGCAUUUGCUAUCCGUAGCUUUAGCAGCAGAGAGAGAGGCAGUGCCACUUUGUCGCUGUUCCUAACGCCUAGUGACAAAGCUAGCUACAUUUCUGAGGACCCUUAGCUACUUUCUGUAGAACUUUCUUCUAGAUAUUUCCUGCAAAUUAGCAACAAAAUAGCCAUUUUCGCUCCGAACCGUUCUUUGAACGUUGUUUCAGCUGUCAUCAAGGAUAUAAAUGUUACAGAUACAAAAGACGUCACUGGUGCUUUAGCUCACCUAGUAAGACGUCGGACUCUCAUGCAGAAGACCUGGAUUCGAUUCUGGAUGUGAACAUAGUUUAUUUAGAGUUUCUUUUUUACAUUAAUGGUAUAUUUUUUUACAGUAAGAUGCCCAAAUUUUUAACGGCAUUGAAUUCACAGAUAAAAAAGAUGUGGGUUCAACUUUCAUUUUGGAACAAUUUUUCAAGCAAGGGAAGGGAAUGAUCUGAGCAUGCAGGAGGACUGACCCAUCAUAAACCUUUGUCGGCUGUGCUGAAGAGAAAGGUACAGAACCAAAUUAUUUAAUUAAUUAGCUGCGUGUUCUCCUGUCCUCUGUCCUCCGGGCCACACACACACACGGGACUGUCUCAGCUGUUAUUUUCGUUAAGGAGUGUGCACGUGCAGCAUGUGCGCCUCGUGCACGAGCCUACUAUUGAAGCUACCGUUGCGCUUUUGGCCUGAGGGGGCAAUCGCGAGCAUAAAAAUUCAAAAGUCCAUAUAGUCCCUUUAAAGAGAACCGCUUCUUACGGCUCGGUUCUUUCUCAAACAGCUCCUCACAUUUUUUCAUUUUGUUAAAUUUACUCAUGACCAGAAAUUAUGUAAAAUGUGUGUGAAAUUAUUGACCAAUCUACAAGCUACAUUAAAUCAACUUUUCAUUAUUUAAAGGGAGACUAGGCAGUUUUUAGCACCUCUAGUGUCCGUUUAUUAGAACCAAAAGCAAAACUUGUCUCAUCACUAAUUAUCUAUUCAUCACUAAAUCAAACACAUCAGGUGUGUUCAGGAUCUAAAACAUGCAGGAAACGUGUUGGAAGCAGACUGCAGCACCAGGUAUGCCAGGUAAAGGUCGGUCCGCCACACUGAAGUUGUAAGUGUGAUAUUCUGGCUACAGAGGUCGGUGGGGUCUGAGUGUCUUAUCACUAACCCUGUAAAGGGUCAUUUUAGCACAUACGGGUUCAAGUGAUGAUUUAAACAUAUUAAAAGUUGCAUAGUAUCACUUUAAAUAACUUCUAACGAUGCAAAACAGAAUGGAAAAAACACAUUUUAAAUAACAAAAAUAAACUCUGGAAGUACAAUAUUUAUAGGUAGAAAACUUAGAAAGCUAAGAUAAUCACACUGGAACAUUUGUAGAUUUUUGCUUUCCAAAGUCCACACUCUUCCUUUGAAUUGUCAAUAUUGGUAAAAUGUGUCCAAAUCUGGCUGCAUUUCCUGCUUUAGCUCAUGUCCUCACCUUUCUGUAGACUGCUUUUUUUCCCUCCCCUUUCACACCCUCCUCCUCCCACUGCUCUGUGAGUUGACACCAGCGCCUGUCUGCCUGUCUCCUGCUCGCUGCAGACGAGUAGCAAAUUUGGCUCGUUCGAGACGGAGCCGGUUCUGAUCGGUCACUCCCAAGAGCUGGUGUUCUGACUAUCCGUGCUUCCUCGUCGAACUAUCCUACCGCGGCGUGUUACAACAGGUUCACUCUUGUUUACAUUAUAAUAACACGCUUAUUAAGCAUGGUUUAUCUUAAAUAGGUGAUAAUACAUAAAAAUACAGAACUGUAGUAUAAUUAUUCACGAAAAUAUACAGUGUUUGUGGUGAUUUUAUUUAUGUAAAAGACCGUGUUUGUCGUGAUUUCAUGAAUGACGGUAAACAGUGGGAGAAAUUUCUUGUUUACAGUAUAGUAACGAUAUUCUACAAGCCAUUUGCAAGCUAACUGUCAGUUAAACGUACAACAAGCAGAAAUUUAAGAACUUCCAGAGGUAGUGCAUCUCUUCAGGUGAACAGCCUGUGAUGUAGUAGUCGGUCUGCGCAUUUCCCCAAAGUAGCACAUAUCCACAGGUGGCACGGAUAGUCGGAACGCCGGUGUCGGUACAGGAUCUGCUCGGGUGCAAGAUCGGCUUGGGGUCCUUCGACUGCCGAUGACGUCAAAGUAUGCCAAACCCACUCGGACAAAAUACACUACACAUCUUUAUACUGUUGGAAAGAAUUUAGCAGUUUCGUUAUUAAAAUAAUGUUUCUUACGACGUAAGUUUGUGUUUAUAAUGGUAUUUGUAAAAUAAAACACUAUAUUGUAUUCAUAAUGUUGAACUCCUCUUUGAGCACAUCCCUUGAAGGAUCAUAGGUAUUAGCAACACCUGUGAAAUUGUAUUUGCAGGAAAGAAGUGUGUCCCGUUUAUUGAAGUAUUUUGUGUUUAGAGUUUUUGACGUCUUGUCCAUGCGUAGUUCAGUUACGCUCAUAGCUGCUAGCCAAAACUCUGGAGUUAAAAGUUUUCUGGCUUUACUAAAAUACCUGUCUGUACUUAUUUGAUUGAUGGUAGUUUUACUUUCUAUUAGACUCCAAAUGUAAUCAUUUGGCACGUUUCUAAUUCAUAAUUUGUAAGAAUGUAAUCGGUGAUAUUAGCAUUAGCAUUCCUAUGGGUUUUUCCA
Molecule: long non-coding RNA, 3403 nt
Filed under: Nothobranchius furzeri (turquoise killifish)
Lineage: Eukaryota; Metazoa; Chordata; Actinopteri; Cyprinodontiformes; Nothobranchiidae
Description: lncRNA (ENSNFUG00015010104.1)
Source: RNAcentral